This 266-nucleotide ribosomal RNA is filed under the name uncultured Alphaproteobacteria bacterium. RNAcentral's name for it is "partial 16S ribosomal RNA". It matches the Rfam family "Bacterial small subunit ribosomal RNA", at positions 34 to 328 of the family's 1533-position model. Lineage: Bacteria; Pseudomonadati; Pseudomonadota; Alphaproteobacteria. The record is from RNAcentral.
CGCCGGCGGCACGCCUAACACAUGCAAGUCGAACGCAGUAGCAAUACUGAGUGGCAAACGGGUGAGUAUAAUGUGGGAAUCUGCCUUUUGGUUUGGAAUAACACGGGGAAACUUGUGCUAAUACCGAAUAAGCCCUUACGGGGAAAGUUUUAACGCCGAAAGAUGAGCCCGCACUUGAUUAGCUAGUUGGUAAGGUAAAAGCUUACCAAGGCAACGAUCAAUAGCUGUUCUUAGAGGAAGACCAGCCACAUUGGGACUGAGACACG